RNAcentral lists this long non-coding RNA (28587 nucleotides) under Volvox carteri. RNAcentral's name for it is "long non-coding RNA (VCAR_LNC003584)". Lineage: Eukaryota; Viridiplantae; Chlorophyta; Chlorophyceae; Chlamydomonadales; Volvocaceae. The record is from RNAcentral.
GAGUGGGAGGCUUCUGGGCCAAUUUAACAGAUUGCCAUUUCUAUGAUUUAUCACCAUACUGCACCAUCCACCAUUGCCACACUGUACUACAAACUGCAAGUCCAGGGCGGUUUAUCCUGCCUUCUAGGAUCCCUCAUCAUCACCACGUCACCCGAACAUCCUUAGAGACAGAGGGAUCAGCAAUCACCACCAAUCCAGCAUGCGAAUCUCGGUCCGUCAACUGUGACCUCAACUCCACACCUCAGCAGCUGUAAAUUUGCCUUCGGACUUUGCAAAUAUGUAUGUUGUUACAGGGUGGUUAACUUCGCCAGCGGCCCCCUUUCCCGGGGCAGUCCCUGCUCUCCCCUGCUAGAGGGGCACCCUAAUCCGUCACCCCAUCCGACUUCAGAAUGUAUUCGUUGGGUUCGGCAACUCACCACCAGCAUCCAACCAAAUCUAGCGGAUCAACGGCGCAUCAACUUAGUUCCUGGUCAGCUCGCAAGUUGAUAUUAUCACGUCCUACACCGUCCAUAUGAUGGGGGGCCACCUCCCAUUUUAUCACUCCUCAAACACCCGAGGAGCUGGCAGGCGGAUUUGAACCCGGGUCGACUGGAUCGACUGGGAGCAGAAGUCAGGCCUUAACUUCUGCCAGCCGCCUGCCUGCAAAUAUGUAUGCCAUCGACUGCAUGAAAGCCUGCAUGAGUUAGGACGAGCGCAGGCAGGAAACCCUAAGGCACUGAUUGGGUCAGUAACCCAUGGGUUACCCAUCUUCAACCCCCGGUAGCCCUUCGGUAACCCCCUUGUAAGUUCCUACCCAGCAGGAGGGGUAACACGGCCCCAGGGUAAACCCCUCCGUUGCCCUGGACUAUGGACAUAUGUAUGGGCCUAUAGGCUACUCGUCUUAUAUGCUUCCCACAUCGUAAAUUCCGCUUAAGGAUACUUCUAAAAAUGUAAACGUUAGCAACCUACAGUAUCGUGGUAUCUCGGGAAGCAUCGUUUGCCAUUUCAACCUUAAGGUCUCUAAUGCUAGCAUCACACACGCAAGGAAUAAGCAAUAAGUACCUAUGUCUUGGCCUGUUUGGCUUGUAGAUGAGUACAGGAGAAGGGGCGAAUGCUGGCAGCACACACGCAAGUCGACGACAGGUCUUCACUAAAUGGAUGCCUUUGGUUGUCAUCCAAUGUUAUAUAAUAGUUGUCAUUGUGAAACAUCAGGCAGUCAGCCCUGAGGUCGGCCGACAUAUUACCGGCCGGGGGUGGUCGUACGCAUAUGUGCAUGCUACUUUACCUCCAUUGAUACUCCUGACAAGCACAUUCAAGCUGAAUCAUAGCUAAUUAGCUUGUAAGCUCAUAUAGUCUGGUCUUUUAAUUAGACGGACAUGCUACAAUAAGCGAUGACCACUAUCACGAAUUCAGGCACCAAGCAGUGGAUGGGGCCAGCGAAGCGGUGUCCGCUUUUCACGAGCUGGCAGGUUUGCCUACCCCAUGCAUACAUUCCUUGUGUGCCGGAGUCCAGGAAGUCGCCCGUCGGACGCUGUCGGCAACCCCCAGGAACUUAGUCGUCGCAACCCCGAAGGAGGUGUCGCAACUGGUGGAAUAUCAUAUCCGCGAAGGUGUGCCCUUGCUCACUAGAAUGGUCGUCACAGGCGCGGUGCUCACGUUCUGCGGUUUGCUCUGCUUUGACGAUCUAAGCCAUGUGCUGGUGCAUACCGACCUGCUCCAUAUCUACGGAGAUCGCGUGGAAAUCUUUUUAUUCAAAAGCAAGACCGACCAGCACUGCAAGGGUGCCUUUGUGACCAUCAGCAGAAUCGGCGGGCCGUGCUGCCCGGUGCUUCCUUUUGGAGCAGCUGCGGACACCACGCAUGUCGGUGCGGCACGAUGGGGUUGAAGCCGAUGCGGAGGAUGUCGGCCCAUUGCUGCGCGCUGUCAACGUCCUGCAUCCAACGUCCGUCAACUGCCUAGAGGAGGUCGUGGCGGCACUCCCGUCUACAGUCGAGGCUAUGCCUUUUCACAAGUUCCGCGACAUGCUCUGGACGUUAUGCACGGAGGCAGGCGUGCGGCGCGACUUGUGCCCGCACUCCCUACGCCGUGGGGGCGCCACGGCCCUCGUGUAAGGCGGCGCUGACCGGGCAGAGGUGCAAAAGCUGGGGCGGUGGAAGAGUAACACCGUUUUCGAGUUUGCAUACGUCCGCGAGGACGGGGCGUGGCGGCGAGCAGUGACGGCACACAUCCCGCUAGGGUACAUUCCCCGUAACACCUAGACAGUUGGUUUUCUCCAGCAAGAGCUAGGAAGCAUGACCAGGCAGCCCACUGCCGCUGCACCAACCUCCACUCGAGGAACGGACCUAUCUUAAGGUCCCACUUACCCGCUUAGUAUUUGCUUAGUGGCAGAAAUAUGCAAGAAAUGUUACAAAAGCUCUUGCAGCAACGCAUUCGAUCAUGAACGCAUUUAGCUUACAUCUGUCACAGAUUUGAAAAUUUCAAAACUCUGCGCCUGAACAGCUCAACAGUGGCAGUUAAAUGUUGAUCUUACACCUCCAGAAAGUAACUGCUAACUUAGAAUCAGGCAGUACACUGGACCUCAGUAUUAACACACACCGCCGCCUCAAGGAACGCAGCUGGACUUACCACAGAUGCAUGGCAUCCGCCAUAAGCUAGAAAACCCACAACAGGGAAGACCUUGGCUCUCCCAGCGGCCGUGAGCACCCGACAGGCUGGUGCUCCUCCCCUUCCCAACACGGGGGUGGCAAUAUGGGCAGCCAAGGGUUUACCCUGCACUGCCCAUGAAGCCGCCCCACUAAGGGUUUACCCUGCACGCCCCAUGAAGCCGCCCUAGCGAAGCAAGAGCGACGCUAAUAUCAAUGUAUACAUUUAAUAGAGCCAAAGCACAGCCUUAUAGCUGAUCACCACUACAUAUAUCACAAUCUUCAACGUGGCUGCUGUAGGAAGAGGUUUAGGAUGCAUGCGGGGGGUUAAUGGAGAUACCAAGAAGAAGCGUCACGAAGCUACGAAAUAAACCUCAGCUCCUCAGCGCGCCAAGCAAACCAUCAUAAGUUGUUGCUGACAACACCGAUUGUACGCCGCAUAUAGCUACCCAUGCAGACAUGCAAACCGGACAGGUAGAGAAUUAAUAGGUACACAUUAACUGUAGGUUUUCUGAGUGAAACGAAAGAAAAACAAGGUGUUUUGUGUAUUUGCCGAGAGUGUACUUGGUUGGAUGUCGUUGGUGUGUACGGCUGGACCGUACAGGGCUAGAAUAGGUCGCGCGAGUUCAUAGUGUCAGUACUGACAGGCUUCCGCUGCGGCUUCUGCCCUAACCUACAGUGUUCAGCAGCAGAGUCGCUCGGUAACCAGGCUCACCCCCCACCACCCACGGAAGUCAAGCACACUUUCCUGCCUGCAGGUACCCCUCCGUCUGUACGACCCCUAAGCGGUAAGGCAACUACUCAAAAAACUGUAGUUGUGUGUGAUUACUCGUCAUGCUAUAAAUUUGUGACUAGGCCCUCAUACACGAAUGCUGAUAUCACUGUAAAGCUUACCUAGCACAAUGCAAGGUAGGCUUGCAGUAGCAGCACGCAACCGCAGCAGGUCAGAUAGGCAUCAUACAAUAAACAUCGCCAUACAUCCACCGGCUCAGAGCAGCGCUUCACUGACUGCACAGCAAGAGUAGACAGCAUCAGACAGCAAGUAGACGCAGCUGCCGCUGCUGGCGCCGCCCUGGCACAUUCCCGCGGGUGUACUGCAGGAGCCGCCGGUUUGCAGCACCAUGCACAGGCGCAAUCCCGUAGCUGGGGUCACUGGGAAGGUGUUAUCCAGCUUGUCGAAGAUGAGCAAGCCGAACUGCUCGCCCUUCCACUUUUUCGUCCGGUAGUUGAAGGUCACAACUUCACCAUUGAUUGUGGUACUCUGGAGGCGCUUGGCAUCGUCACUCACGCAGGAUAUGUCUGUAGGGCAGGUAGGGCAGGUGGGGCACGAGGGGUUUAUUCACGUGCCGGGCAGUGUUUUUUAAAGAAAUAUAUUCCUUAAAAGGAAUAAACAGGCAAUUUUGGCCUUUAGAAAAACGGAAUGAAUUGAGGCCGAUCCGUACAUUUUCAUUCCCCCAGCCAAAAACGUCCAUUGCUGCCAGAUUGCUCCGUAGUGUGCAGAACUUAGAAUUAUCAAUCAUAGGAUAGAUAUGAGGGGCCGUAAGAAGGUCAAGCCCGUGAGUCAACGCGGCAUAGCAGAAUGUAUGACCGGUCCUCACAUAGCCAAACACGCAAAAGGCAACGACUCGAACAUCGAACAAACACCAAAACAGCAAGAUAAGCCUGAAACUUUUUUCCUGAUAAAGGCGUUUGGGAUGGCGGUGCUGUUGUCGGUAAUGCAUCGGCAAUGGUGUUGCUGCCAGCGGCGACCGAUGACACGGGCGCCAUACGGACAGUAGCAGCAGGGGCCGGUACAUGAUGAACCGGUAGAGUCCUAGUGUGCUGUGGUUUGCAGUGGCGGGUGACGGCCUGUGAUUUGCUAUGCGUUUGCUUGCUUUGGGCUUUUGCUUGGUCGGAUUUACUUAUUGCUCACAAAUAGGGUUGGCACGGGUACUAUACUAGAAAAGAGUACUAUACUAUAAUAGUACUAUGCAUAGUACUAUUUACUAUGCAGGGCUCUAAACUGGUACUAGUUUACGACGCUCGUACCGCGUUCGUACAUAGUAAAAUAGUAUAGUAAAAAUAGUACUAGAUAGUACUAGAUUUGGGUUUGGAUAGUGUCCAGUAUUAGUUGGACCAAGUCGAGAUCUGCAGUCAAGCUGUAUUUUGAAGGGCUAUAGCCGCGUCUUCGAGCUGUGCUACGUAGUUAUUGAUGAAUAAUGUCAAAGGAAUCCAGUAUAAAGAAUGACAAGGCGAUCAGAGGCUUGCAUCCUGGUCCAGACGUCCCCCCUGAAGUUCUCCGUUCUCGGAACGAGCUUAUUAACAAGCUACGUAACCAGAAGAAGAACGCCAAGACGGGUAGUCUUUGGGACAACUUCGAUGUGGAGUGGUGGUCUACCAAAGCUAGUCUGCCUGUUCUGCGAUGAGCCGCUCAGCGCCGCGAACCCAUCCUUUACCAACGCGCACCACAUCAAGCAAGGUGCUUGCAAGGCUAUCAAACAGCGUGCAGCGUCACUCAGCCAGCAACAGCAACAGAGUGGAACCAGCUCUGCUGCGGCGGGUCCCAGCACGGCGGAUCAGCAGGCCCUCUCCAAGCGCCGGCGCGGCAUUGAUGGCCAGACCCUCCUCCCAGUGAUUCCCGCGACUCUCGCGGGGCAAGUCUUCACUAGUAUGGCGUCCGUGUGUUGUCUUGUCAACACUGGGUCUUCUAUCUGUGAUUAUGUCUUUAUGUGCCAUAACACGCCUUGAGACAUGGGGUUUGGGGUCCACCUACCGGGCACUGAACUAACAAAAAGUGAUCUGGAUGACCACAGCGAUCUGCUUUCUCAUGUCUAAGUAGGUAUUUAGAAAGAACAAAAGAAGACCUUUCCAACGGUGUAAUUUUCAGGUACAACGGUUGGUCGUACACCCCCCUUCUACAGGGAGCGUGUACCUGCCUAGUAAUAGUAUCAUAGUACUACAUUACUAUAUAUAGUACUAUUUCUUACUAUACUAUACUAUUUGGGUAAAAAAAUAUAGUAUUUUUGCCAACCCUACUCACAAACAGUGCCAGAACUAUCUAUGCAUGUGCAUGAAGAGUGCACACAUGAACGAAAACGCGCCAACUCAGUGCGUGCCUCUUGGUCUAUGAGGGGAGUUGUAACUUAUCGGGGGGGGUCUGGGGGGCCCCCCGUAGCCCCCCCCAGCGCCCCACACUUACGGAAUAAAUUACGGCGACCCUAGCAACUGUGUUACUUAGGUCGGAAUAAAUUGAGACCCGCCCUAAAUGAAAAAAAUCACUGGUGUCGGGUAGGCAUGCACUUUGUCAGUCAAGCAUCUGGUAAAGUUUGGGUGUAUUUCCAGUGUGGAUUAAGGCCAGGGAUUAACCCUCUGUCCUCCAUCGAUACUAGUAGGCGAGGUAAGUUUGCCAAGCAAGUACUUGCUCAAACGGCUAAGUUGUUGCCAAACUUACCUCGCCUUUUCAACCUUUGGUUUCCUUAUGGAACGAAACUAUGUGGUAAGCUCGUACCAAGGACUUCCGUGCCCUAAUCCCUGGCCUUAAUCCGCACUGGAAAUGCACCCUUUAAGAACGUGUGUCUAUAGACCAGCCCUGUAGUCUAUUAUACCAUGGCACGAUCUAUAGACUAUUCCGUACAAUGAGUAAACAUAUGAUUUAUCUCUCAGUAUAGACCAUAAACAAAUAUCGACGAACGCAAUCCUAAUGGUGAGAAACUGAAGUCCAUUCCCGAAUGAACGUAUAUGCCAAAAGAGUUUGUCCUUGAUUUGCCCUAACACCUUUUAGAUAAUUAAUUCUGGAUAUGGCGCUGGGAUUGACAUGUAUGAACCCGGCAAAGUUAUUUUCCUAUCGUUAUGUAUGGGUUCGUGAUAGGCUCCAGAGGAGGGUUGCAGAGCGGUCAGGAUGUGGUGAAGGGUCGGGCACAGGAUACGCAUAGGAAAGAGCAGUAUAGAAAUGUCGCCAGGUUAAGGAUGGCAGAGGGCCCAGGAAGGCGGUAUGUUUGGAAGGGUCCACGCCAACCCACCAAGGAUGAGGAUGGCGGAGGGGAGGGGAGGGGAUGCAAUCACAGGAUGUUUGGCUUGAGGAUAGGAAAGGGGUUUGUAGGAUGUAUCGAAAACCUAACCGACAGGAUGCGUGCCCCGACAGGGCCCCCAGGAUGCGGGGAUGGGGCGCCGUUCUGCAUCCCUCCGGCUCCAGACAUAGCAAACAUGUUAUUGCAAGGCAUAGUGUGUAGUAGCUGGCCGCUAAAAAUCUCCUCAAGAUGCUGGGAGCACCGUAGUGCGUAUUUGUAGUUGUUCACGGUGCCGUACAUGUACCGGCUACUACUUAGUGCCCCUGGAAAAGCCCCAGAAUUGAUUCAGACGUGAAAAUUUGAAGUAAACUGGAUAUUUUGCCGUAUGUUGUUUACGUACGUGUAUGAUGUGUGGGACAGGGGGGUCAUAUCUUCACCCAUGGCCGCUACCCGGCGAAACCCUGCCUUCCUCCGCAUUUCGGGGCACCCUCAUCCAGUCACCCUAGCCGACUUCUCAGUGGAUCGCUCAGGUUCCGCACCCACCACCGGCAUCCAACGGAAUCUGACGGAUCAACGGCGACUCAACUCCAUUUUUCCUGGUCAGCUUGCAGGUCUACUUUAUCCCAGGUCACCGCCAUCCAUCGACUAGGGACACUCUUACAUACCACCAUCGGAAGGAUUAUCAAUCCUGAAGAUCUAUGCACUGCCACAGAGCAGUGGUGGAGGAACAGUUUUUUGGGCGGGGCCCCAGCGCGAAGCGCCCAGGGGCCCCCCGCCCUGUAGGAUUGCCCAUGUCCGUGUCGCGUGUGGCCGUAACGGACCAAAUAUAUCGGUCGUAAGGGACAUAAUAUCUCGCCCGGCUGAAACGCUUUAUUGGUAAUAUAUUGCAUUCUCUAUUGCAAGGUAUCUCGCCUGUAGCCAACAAAAAUCGUAUGAGCACAAACAAGUUUGGCUGCCUACAUUCACCGAACCCAAAGUCACAUCAACACCUCUCGGGCUAAAUAUCAUCUCAAAGGGUGCCGCAUAUCUCAUAAAUGAGUUCUGAGAUGACGGGGUAUGAUAACUCGAACCCAGCUUGUGUUACUAUUUGCCCGCACGGGCAUUCCGACUUGCCAUCAGCAGGCCGACAAAUUUGCUUUCAUUUCUCUAUGAAGUACGCAAGCUGCCCGUUUGUACAAUUAAUUUGGCCAAUGCUCGGGGUCUCCGAAGAGUUGCAGUGUGCCGCGCGGCUGUGGGGCGGAUUGCUGAAGCCGCUGGUGCUUCGGGAAUAAACAUCACAGACAGCACAUGAACGUGCUGCGGGCUUUGGGGAAGUGUGUCGAGCUAGGCUUUGAGGGGGGCCAAGGGCCCGUGAGCAGGCGCCUGAAUGGGCAGGUCAAUGCCUGAAGGGACGCUGUAGGCAGUGCGUACUGUGCUGUAUGGUGCUGUUUUCCGUGUGUGUUUAGACUGCGGCACCACAGCUGUGUGCCGGUAACGGCACCUCAGACUCAUACGUUUACGCCCAAGCAAGGGGCUGUCGGUGGCAGGUCGCGGACCUCCAGUCUACGUGUAAUGGCCAAUGACUCUUAGCCAUGUCUGCUAGGUUCCAGAGAGACACCGUCUCUUCAACAGGUUAUGAGCCCCAGCUUCCUGCCUCCCACGUUCUGACAAGCUCCCACAGCAUCAGCGCUGCUGCAACAAGCACAGCUCCAACCACGUUGACACUACCCUAGCUACCGCCCUGUACGGAUGCAGAGGGCGCACACCCUUUUCCCGGCUUCGAGGAAGCUGACACCCGACUUGUCCGUAGGUUCUGGACCAGGCUGUUUACCAGAUAACGAUUGGAUAACGAAACCGGGCAGGGACAGGUUUUGCCAGGUAGGGUGAUUGACACCGGUGUGAGUGCAUUGUAGAUCGUGCAGCAUGCUUUCGGUGGAAUGGAGCUUGCUUGGCGUUUCUGGUGAAUGUUGUUGUUGUUACAUGGUCGUGGGUGCGUUCCCCGUACCUGCAAACCACCCUAGUACGAGCCGAGGGCUCAAGGGCUGCCAAAUCGCCUAUAAGCACCAUCCUACCUCGCACUUCCAGCGAAACAAGUGAUGAAGUAUACUAACGACCAAAGGGAACGAUAGAGUUGCGGUGAGACCAUAUACGUUCCAGCAUCCUUGCCAGGCGUUCAGGUUCCCACUUCAUAGCGUCCUUCAUAUGUUCGAAGCGUGGAAAGCCCAUAUCAGAUCUGAUUCCGUCGUAAACCGGACAGUCCAGCAAAAUGUGUUUCUCAUCCUCGAUGUGGCUAUCAGUGCCGCAGCAAGGGCAUACUCGCUCCUCCCUAGGUAUAUAACGCCGUCCCUUACGCGCUCUGUUAGCCGCCAGUGCCCAACAGCAAAGUCUAAACUGCAUAAGCUUGCGAUUCGCCGAACGUGGGAUAAACAUUGUGAUGUGCGGGAGCACCUCCUUCCUGCCCGCUUGCUCGGCCGCCAGCCCCAUCCAAUGCUUAUACUUCGCCAUGUGAAUUCCUGGUUGCUUGCCGUCUGACGGAUACACGUCAGGCUGGUGAAUGUAGAUGGCUAGAGGAUCCGAACAAAUGACAGCGCCUUGUGUUGAGCGGGUUGUGCCCCGGGGCAUCCCUCCAUGAAUGGUUCAUCCUUACUAAUUGACCAAGUCCAACAAACUGACUACCACACUCUACCAGCAUGUAUAGAACUACGUAAACCAGCUACAUUCCUUGACUUUGGCUUCUGCACCUUAGCCACAACUUGCUUAAUACCCUGUCUUAGUAAGGUGAGGGAUGUAUGUGGUGGUGGUUCUGGUGCAUUCACAUUCCUGGGAGCACAUCCAAUUGGGUGGGUCUACAACGAACUCCAGCCAUUUAGUAGCUGUACAUAGUACGGCACACAUAUCGUCUAUAAAUACGCGCUAAUAAGGCACUCCGCCAGCAUCUAUAGAGGCCUUUUCAGCGGCCAGCUACACUCUAUCAUCAGCAGUCGUCCCCCGCCUGUCCUUGCUUGAAUUUGUCGGCUAUUGUCGAUCUGACGACCUGGAGUCUCUAUAUGUGCAAGAUCUCGCUAGCAAACGAUGCAACUGCCGGAAGGAAGGAAUGACGAUAACAGGGUGCGACCGUCGUGUGAAUAUUUUUUUGUAUAUCCUACUACUACUGUAUGUACGACAGCAAUUCAAUUAGCAACAUGUACACAUACAUGUACGUGCAUGUAGGUGAAUCGUCUUCCAAUAGACAUGAUAACUAAUAUUUGUCGUUUUGAAUGUGAAUCGGGUCAUCUUCCUUCUUGUGAACUGUUGAGUAACUCGACACAGGAUUUGGGAUUGUUCACAAGUUCAGUGGACUCCACAGCGGAUUCUGCAGGUCCUGGGGCUGUGAGGGAGAUUGCAACACCCCCAUGCAUCCUGGGCAGGGACUAGCUCAUGAUGAAUCCUGUUAUGUAUGGAAGCCGGGUAUAGGGUCCCCCUCGCCUCCCCCUCCUGUAGUGCUCCCCCUCCGGCUAGAGGGCCUCACCUUUGUCUGGGGGGAGCACUACAGGGCAGUCUCGGAAUGUUUGGAAUCGGUUGGGGUUCCCAACCGGCGACCAAAGGUUGCCUGCCAUUCCGAAUGGGACUGUAUGCUUGAUCGUUCAAGUGUGUGCUGUGAUGGGUGGCUUGUUCGGUUGCCGGUUGAAGACGAGUCGAUCUUGGGCGUCGUACUGCUCAGGGGUGGCAGAGUUCGCUAUAUUUCGUGCAAUUGGAUUGCGUCCUUGACCCGGCUUGCUUUGAUGCCAUGUGUUGUCGCGCUCUGUUCUCAUUUCGUGGUGAGGGGUCGUAGCCCCUUUCUACUACCUUGGGCUCCUUUUCAUCUUAUAUGUAGCUAACACUUCCUGGCUGUCUGUCAUUCGUCAGUCCGAACAACCGCAGCCUGUUUGGAAACGCUAGAUUACUCACCGAGAAUGAAAGCAAUCUUGUCAAUGGUCGUUGAGGUGCACGAGCUGCCCGGUACCGGGGAGCUGCUGAGGGCCGCUGUAAAACAGUAGGUGGCUGUGAAGUCCGUGACAUUGAAGGGGCCCGAAAGGGACGACAUGCGGUACGGUGAAGUGGCAGUACUCCCCUUGCAAUCCAGGAAGGGGAAGUCGUUGGCCAAGAUGGAAUUCCCUCCUGGGGAUGGAGGUGGUGGGCUGACGGGUUUGGGAGCCUUGGGUGUCCUGGGGGACUUGGGGGACUCGGGGGACUUGGGGGGAGUUUGUUGGGGUGGAGGUGGCAGGGUCGCUGGAGACUGAGAUGGCGGGGGAGGUGAAGGAGAUGAAGGGGACGGAGCUGGGGAUGGUGGUCCUGAUGCAGUGGGUAAUGGCGGGCUUGGGGGUUUUGAUACAGGAGGCUCUGGCACUGGCACUGGCACCGGUGGUGGGGGUGGUAACAUUGAUGGCAUGGGUGACGGAAGCUGGAAAGGGGAAGGAGGUGGAGGGCUGGAUGGGAGCUGGGAUGCAGGUGGCGGUGAAGAAGGCAUAUUUGUAGGGGGAAGGAAUGAGGAUGGUGCUGGAGAAGGGGGAAGUGGUGACGACAGUGGUGAUGGUGGUGGUGGUGGAGGUGGGGGCAUUGGUCGUGGUGGGGAGGGAGGGCUGGGUGGUGGUGUUGGGGAGGGCGGGCUGGGUGGUGUUGGGGAGGGAGGGCUGGGUGGCGGUGGGGAGGGAGGGCUGGGUGGUGGUGGUGGGGAGGGAGGGGAAGGUGGUGGUGGAGAGGGCGGGCUGGGUGGUGGUGGGGAGGGCGGGCUGGGUGGUGGUGGAGAGGGUGGUGGGAGGGAAGGAGGGCUGGGUGGCUGUGGUGGAGAGGGUGGACUGGGUGGUGAUGGGGAGGGCGGGCUGGGUGAAGGCGGGGAUGGUGGUGGGGGUGGUGAAGGGCAGGGGCAAAAGUAAAACUCCAGCGGGACGUAGCCCCAGCUGGUCGGCGAGUUGGGGCAGACAGAGUCGCUCGGGUCACCCGCCGUCACCCACUUGCCACUCAACCAUAUUUCUGGCGUUCCAUCUAUUGGGGCAAAGCUGGCAUUCGCUGUCCGCAACAGACCAAAUAAGUAGAAGGGGUACAGCGCACAAUAUUGAAAGUCUGAGAUGUCACCACCACUCUGUGCUGCACGGAGCAGGGCAGAAUAGAUUGCGAAGCCAAGUCUGAUACCAGGAGAAAGAGGAUAUGAAAUUGAGAAAGUUGGAUUAUUCAUCUCAUCCAUACUCAAUGGACUGCAGCCUGGUGUGCCAUUGAAGCGCCUCUGAAACUCUAAAUUCGGGAGUGCACGAAAAUAGGAGACCACGUUAGAGCUGUCAGUGUUAUUGAAAUAGAGAUCUGCCAAUUGACCAGAGUACCAGGAACCCCCAUCAACAGCAUAAUCCAUCAUUGAUAUCACCGACUGAUUGAUGCGUAUACUGCCAGUAUCAGACGCACGGAAAGGCACAGGUACAUCGGCAGCACUGGUGAUUUCCGCACCCUGGUAAAGGAUGCGAAGGAUACUAUUGCUGCAGGGCAAGGUGACCGGUGGCGGUGGUGGUGGUGUGUCUGCAACCGCCGCAAUACCAACAGUGGUGGUGAGCAGCAACAGCCAUAGGAAGGCGGUAUUCUGCCCAAUGCCAUUACUCCACCGCAGGCUGCGUACUGAGGGUGAAGAUGAGGGGAUAGUGAUGGCUCCUGGGGAGUCCUUGGGCCCAUUAGGCUGUUGUGACAGACGAUCAGAGCCGGGUUCACUUGCGGAAAUGGAACCUGUGUUCGGAUGGCGUCUGGAGCUGGCGACUGUAGCAGAAGCAGGAACCCCUGCCAUGCUGUUGCAGUGCUUCCCUUCCUUGCUGCUAUAGAUGGCACAGCCACACGCACGUACGUGAUGAGCAAGUGCAAGAAGCAAGCCCUGCAUUCCAUUCAUCAAUCGGCAACCACAGCAUGUACUUAGUUUGUGUUCCAUGGUUACAAUGACGGUCAAUGAGGUCAUUUAGCACAGUCAUCCAGCUUUGCAUGCCGCCUAUCCAUGAAACGCAUGAACUCAUCAUGUUUCGCUGCACCAUCCCAGUACAGGCUGCUGCAGCCAUCCUAACAUGAUGGACAACGAACAUCUGUAAGACGUCUGAUGGCCGAUAAAUAAACAAUGUAACAAUGUAAAAACAACAACAAGCAACAACAUUGCAACAACAUAGCCGUGAGUCCUUUCUCAGGACGAGCCGCCUACAGUAAAACGCCCCAUCAACCCAAACAACAAUAUCGAAGCCGCACUCUCAGCAGGUGUGAGAAAAUAGCUAGUGCGGCGCAGCAGCAGGCGCAUACGCUGCUGUGGUGGCUACGUGGGUGAGGUGGAUGCAUAUGAAGGGGCAGGAACUGCAAAUAAUAAAGCAUGACGUGAAUUACACCAACGGCAAGCAUGCGCUUGCUAGGUAGCUAGCAGAGCAGCUGCUGCAGUUUCACUCACCGAAAGCCGGACCAGGCCGAACCUCGAUGUCUGCAAGGCGGAGUGUCUAUAGACAAUAAACGAAUCCACCGAUCGGUAAUUUUCUGUUGUCGUGACACAACAGAUGCCAGCUUCAUGCCUUGAAACUGUUACUUAAAAAGCAGUACAAGCACGUAGUUUAUGGGGAAGUCGAAAGUCGGCGCAAACCGCUGGGGGGCGUACGUACAGUAGCAGCUCCAUAUAUAUAUAUAUAUAGAGGAUAUAUAGAGGAUAUAUAGAGGAUAUAUAGAGGAUAUAUAGAGGAUAUAUAUAUAUAUAUAUAUAUAUAUAUAUAUAUAUAUAUAUAUAUAUAUAUAUAGAGGAUAUAUAUAUAUAUAGAGGAUAUAUAUAUAUAGAGGAUAUAUAUAUAUAUAUAGAGGAUAUAUAUAUAUAUAUAUAUAUAUAUAUAGAGGAUAUAUAUAUAUAUAUAUAUAUAUAUAUAUAUCCUCUAUCCUCUCAUAUAUAUAUAUAUAUAUAUAUAUAUAUAUAUAUGAGAGGAUAGAUCGUUAUCUUUUCGGUAAGAACUUCCAAAGCUAUCGGUCGACUGUUGGGUUUCACCACAGCAGUGGCCGCCAUACGGGGCGUUUCACUUCGGAAAAAGCCUUAAAUAAACCACACGCUACGCGUUUUUCGGCUUGCCCAAAUGAGGAAUUGUCUUAGACUGUAGUGGGUGCGCUCGAGGGUGCUGCAGUGCUCGUCCUGUAGUGCGGUACGGCAAGUGCGGCGCAGGAAGUCGGAAUCUCGGAAUUCGACCUCAUGAAUUCCCAAGCAAUUCCGGGUCAAAUCCCAUCGGGAUUUGAGGAUUUGACCCCCAAAACAAUAGGCAAUAUAAUGGUCAUGCAAAGAAUUCUUCGGGCUUGGCAUUUGAGGAUUAACUCCUUACACUUCUCUACCUGCAGUAUUCGAGUACAAGGUUCUAUGUUCGUUGCGACGUUUUGACCUAUGUUCUAUGCUUGCUGCUUCACGUUGUCAUGUAUUCUGGGAUGCGUUGGGAAGAUCCUGAGCUUUGUUGUCGGAAAUGACAAAUACGGCAAACGUGCUCUUCACUCUCAUGUCUUCCCUUUCCUCUCCCUCCCCAUUCUUCUCUCCCUCCUCUCCCUCCUCUCCCCUUCCUCUCCCUCCUCUCCCUCCGCUCCCUGAACGCGUCUCCUGUCCUCUUCCUAUACUCUCUCCUCCUCUCCCUCCUCUCCCUCCUCUCCCUCCUCUUCCUCGCCUUACUGUGAAUACUUUGCUCAUUAAUUUUGCAGUCCGGUUUUAAUGCGCAACUCCGUACACAUCUCUUCCUGCAGUUCUCGAACACAACGUUCAUUAAUUAUUUUUUCUUUUUGCUUGACGCUUCAUUUUUUUCCGGGUGUCACAUCCCAUAUGUAAUGUAAUGUAAUAUGCCUGCGUCAUGAGAACUUUUGUAACCGCCUUAUGCUCGGCCAUUUCUUUACACUGCACAUCUUUCGGACUUUUGCGCUUCUCAUUUACGCCGUUCCAAGGCUCCGAACGCAGCGCCUUGUUUUACGGCGUUCCUUCCGGAUUGCGCAAAGAGUAAUUGUGUCUCAGUCCGAGCAUGCUCGUCCAUCUCAUCCAACAUAUGAUGCAUCUAGGUUCUUGCCCACCUCACCAACCUAUUACACACUUCUGGUCUGGUGACACCACUGCAAUUAGCAAUUGAAGGUCCUAACCUGUGCAGACCCCCGACAGUGACCCGGAGUAUUAGGUUUACAGGUGGCUUCAGAGGUGUGGAGGUGAAGUCUAAUUGAUGAACUACGUUUCGCAUACUGAGUUGGUGGCGAUGGCAGCCCUUUCUCUACGGAUGUCGGGUGAAUGAAUGAUGAGUGGUCUAGUUGGCAGGACCAGAGGGUUGCAGAGAUGGGGGAUUGGGGGCAGGUACUGGUCAGGCGGGAUGGGGAAUAGGGUUGACGACGUCAGGAUGGGAUGUGGGGCCCAGGGCGAGGAUUAGGGAUUAGGCGUGCUACACUACUUUUGGGAUGGGGAUUGCUGUCGGGGGUGAGGAUGGGGAUGGGAUCCCUGUCUGAGGGAUGGGGAUUGCAACCUUGACCAAGGAGGGGAUUGGGAGCCCUGGCCAGGGAUGGGGAUGGGACCCUGGUCGACAGGACGGGGAUUGCAGGCUUUCGCAAGUUUAGGAUGAGCUCGCUGCCAUAGGAUUGGGAACACAGUUGGAGGAUUAGAAUUGGGUGUUCUGCUGUAAAAUGAGGCUGCAGGUGCAGAAUUGGGAAUACUGACAGGACUGCAAAACAGGCCAAGGAUGAAUGGUUUAGUUGUCCAUAGUUGCUUACAUGGAAACUCAAACAAACACAAAGAAGUUCUGCUCGCAAGUCGCGUCCCAUAGCAAACCAAACUCAAACACAAGGAAGUUCUGCUUAUAAGUCGCGUCCCAUAGCAAACCAAACUCAAACACAAGGAAGUUCUGCUUGCAAGUCGCGUCCCAUAGCAAACCAAACUCAAACACAAGGAAGUCCUGCUUAUAAGUCGCGUCCCAUAGCAAACCAAACUCAAACACAAGGAAGUUCUGCUUGCAAGUCGCGUCCCAUAGCCAACCAAACUCAAACACAAGGAAGUCCUGCUUAUAAGUCGCGUCCCAUAGCCAACCAAACUCAAACACACGGCCUUGGCCAUCUCUUCAUUAGUCCUGCGCUUUUUCUCCAGCCGUGGUGACGCAUCCUCGCCCAACUCGUCAGCGGGCUGCGCAGUCGGGGCACAUGCUGCUUUUGCAAGCUUGAGGGCUUGGAGAGCUUUAAGGUUCGGGGCGAGGGCCCUCAGCGACUUGAUUGCCACCUCGGAAUCCGCAUCCGCCAGCCGUGCGUUGACUUCGACCUCUGUGCCAGCAAGGAAGACAGAAAGCAGGCGGUGACAAAACAGCAAGUUUGCACCUUUCGUUCAAAACAAAACCGAAUGGAGUUGGCGUCACAGGCAGCGGCUCACAAAGUCGGUUACAUGCCAGGGUCCCAAACUUCCAUUGGUAUGGGCGUAGGCAUCGACCUAAAACAAGACCCAUUGCAAAGAGCGCAAGCGUCGGAUAAAAUAUAUCCUGUAGUGGUUGGUCAGUCCUGGUCAGUCCUGUCCAGUCCUGUUCAGCAAGCGGUGAAACCAAAUUAGGCUGAAGUGGUUCUUACCGCCAGCCACGGUCUUCACUGACGCCAAGUCCACCAAGCCUUCUUCAGACAAUGUUUUGGCGAUGGCGGCAUCGGCCGACUGCCCGAUGGGGUCCAUCCCAAGCGUUUCCACGAUGACUUCGGCCAUGUCCCUGGCGAAGCCCAACCCCGUCAAUUUUGCCAGCUUUUGACGCUUCUGCAGAAGGUUAACACCAUUGGGAAUAGAACAGGCAUGGAACGCGACUUGGUGUAAAUGUGAGAAAAGUGCACCAUUGGUGCACCCUGCCAGUUCUUCAGUCAGACGCAGUCCAACCCCGUUCUUACCUUGUCCGGCCCAUGCACAUCCACAUCCAGGGCACCAUCGGGUGCCAUUCUGGAAGAGAUAACAAACGGUCGUCGGGCUGUUACUAGCUUGCGCAUAACAAGGUGGGCGUCUUCCAAGACGAAGUUUGGGACACUUUGAAUAAGACCCGAACGAAAUCUGUAUGCAAUCUGCAGACCCUACUGGGGGACAAGUCCGCAGGAGGCGUAUCAACAUGCAAGACGUUAUCAACAGCAAGCCGGUUUGGGGGUCCAAGUACAGCCUGUCACGCUGACUAGUUGGACAAGGCUGUAUGCUCUUCUGCGUGAAGGCAGAAUGAUUUCACCAGGAGAGCAGCAAGAAUGAAGUCGCCACUGCGACCCAGUUGUACGACAGCACCACAGAACCAGCCUUAGAAGCUCUGUGUCGCUUCGCUCCCGUCGCAUCUANNNNNNNNNNNNNNNNNNNNNNNNNNNNNNNNNNNNNNNNNNNNNNNNNNNNNNNNNNNNNNNNNNNNNNNNNNNNNNNNNNNNNNNNNNNNNNNNNNNNNNNNNNNNNNNNNNNNNNNNNNNNNNNNNNNNNNNNNNNNNNNNNNNNNNNNNNNNNNNNNNNNNNNNNNNNNNNNNNNNNNNNNNNNNNNNNNNNNNNNGUUUAUCGUAGCGCUUUGGCGCACCCAACGUGGAGUGUUGGCGCCGGAAUGUGCAGCUGAACUCCUGCGCUAUGAACCUGAACCAAUGGUGCACGUUCCCAGCCAUGGACAUUUUGACAGAACACCCUUGUACGUUCUGCCAUUCUAACCACAGCAUUAUAAUUUGUUGCUGUGGCCGUCCUUCGAACAUAACAGUCCUUCCCCCCUUAGGACGCGCGAUUUGCAAUAGCAGCCAGUGUGCAAUUAGAUAUGUAGACCUCUGUGAUGCGAGUUCUUCCUCAGUCGAGAUCCGCUUCAACGAGCGUUUGUCGCUUCAGUCUGCUUCGGAACGAACACAGCCGGGCGGAAUUUGACGCUAGAGGAAAUAAGCCAUAGAGCAAGAGAAAAAUAUCUCGCGGAAAUAGAAAAUAACCCUGGUCAUUCCCCUGAUUUACGCCUAAAGAGAAAGCCGAUAUUACAGCACCUGUGUAAACGUAAGGAGUAGGUUUGUAGCUGGCAAGGGAUGGGGAUGGGACCCUGGCUGACAGCUUUCGGAUCUGAACACAGCUGCAGGAUGGGGAUGGCCCUGGUCGAAGGGAUUGGGAAGGGACCCUGGCUGGCAGGAUGAGGAUUGGGGGAACACAGCUGCAGGAUGGGAUUGGAAACCCUGGCCAUAGGAUUGGGGAUGGGACCCAGGCUGGCAGGAUGGGAAACCUGUCUCAAGGGAUGGGAUUAGCACCGGGCCCCUAAGAUGGGAGAUGGGAGUCGGUCACCCCAGCCAGGAUGGGGGGAUGGCUGACCACUACCACCCCCCGGGAUUGGGGGAUUAGACCGUUUUUGCAACCCUCUGGCAGGACCCCAAAACAGUUGUAUGGCGAAAUCAACUUUCUCUAGUCCAUGGCCUCCCGGCUUUGACGGACACCCCCGCACUCGUGCGGAACUUGCAACUUGUAACUUUAAUAUAUUUGAUAGGCUAUCAACCAGCGUUAUUUUUUUGCGGAACGCUAUCUUCGUCCACAAACAUAUCUGAGUUCCGGCCCUUGAUUUAUCGAUAGAGAAUUAGAAUAGCUUUCAGACGCAAUUUAAAGCGCGGUGAAAUAAGAUGAAAUGUUACACUAUAACUGACUGACGGACGGACUGACGGACGGACUGACGGACGGACUGACGGACGGACUGACGGACGGACUGACGGACGGACUGACGGACGGACUGACGGCAGUGAACCUAGGGGCUCGGGCCCCCGAAUGGCGCUUCGCGCCCGGGGCCUCGCCCAAAAACACUGCUAUCAACAAGCAUAGGUAGUGGAUAAUAAACCUUCCGCCGCUAAGCAGGUUGGUCCGCUUGCAAAGGGAAACCCAAGGCAUUGGCCUCGUUUUUCCAAGCUCGCGUAUGUAGGAAGUCGCCAUAGUACUGGCACCUCGAAAAAACCUAUCUUUGCUACUACAGGCCUCACUCCCGGUCGACCCGUGCAGCCUGGUCCCACCCGACGAAUACACUGCUGCCUCCAUGCGCCGCUUGCACUCGCGCGUUGUUCCUCCGAAGACGAGUACUUCGCACUUUGCGAUAUUUGCCGCCAUGCCAGUCGCCUUGCAGACGCGGAACCAUGCGGUGCGGCAUCUGUGCUGGGGUCGAGGGCCUAAUUAAGCUCCGACCGCCAACUGCGUAACAUGACUGACAAUGGAAGACGACGGAAAGAAGAACGCAUACAUUGAUAGAACUUCAACAAGUUUUUGGGUGUUGAAAUCUGCAGGAAAUGCGACCGCCCGACUGCGCGAGCCGGCGACCCACUUGCCGGCCCUCUCAGCAGCCAAACUUGCCAAGUCUUUUUCUUUUAUUUGAUAUGAUUUCGUUCAUCCAUUUUAUUAUUUUCUUCCAUCUUCAGUCCUGUUCCGCAGGGCCAAGGACGCCAGCGCAAGCAAACCGCGCUUCGCACAUACGAGUAAGCGCGGCGCUCCGGGCUUUCGCAAGCCGCCCUUUCCACGGCCAUCACUAAUGCAUUUUGAAUCACGUUUAUGCGAGGGGCUGCUUAAAAAUGCCUUCAAAAAUUGCUGUGCAGUACAGCAAUUUCUGAUUGUAUUUCAUGGGGAGGUCGAAAGUCGGCUGAAACCGCUAGCGGGCGUACGUAAGGUAGAGCUACAAGUUGACGAAUUGUUUCUCAGCUCCAGAAAGUUAUGCGGUUCAUAUAACCUGGGACGCUGGGACCGUCCAUGGCGGACGCUCCGCCGGACGGACGAGCGUCCGGCACAGCUUGCCUCGCGCACAUACCCACGCAUGCCAACAUAGUCAUAAUCGAAACAAAAUACAUUUCAUUGUAGUGAAUCCUGGUGCUCGCGGCGCGCGCAGGCGUGGAGCGCGCGCAGAUAUUCCUUGCGCAAACCGGCAGCGCGGCAUGCAAUCUGCGUCCAGAUGAGCCCAUUUCCCUAGAAAUUUGCUGGGCAUGUUGUAAAUUGAAAAUAUAUUACCUUUUCAUAGAAAAUGUAAUGCUACGCACAAUACUGGGGGCUACGCCGAUGCAAGCGGUUGGCACCAGUGAAUGCCUGAAAUGUAAACAAAGCUAAAACUAGCAGUCAGGUAUGUCAAUUAAAUUAUAGGAAACAUAUUCAUGUGGCGGUUUGGGGCCUGAGGUACGUCCAUGGCAACAGCGGCUCGCGACUUGGACAACACAGCCAUGGGCGAUUUAGACCCAUGGCUGUGCGUUCCAAGUCGGGCAGUGCAGCGGGGCCAUUUGCAGAGGCUUUGGUAGGAGCAGCGCCUUUCACAGUACCGUUUGCAACACCAUUGGCUCGCGGCGUAGCCAUUGGGAGGGCCAUUGGGAGGGCCAUCCCAGGUAUCUAUCUGUCCACACCUCUGCCUCUCGCCAUGCCCUGAUCCUCCGCAUCCACAUCCCAGGAGGUGCACGCGGUCUGAGCCCGCACCACAACAAGGAAGUUCCAGGAAGUGUGUACGUCCUAACCCUGCACAGCGUGGGCGUGGCAGAGGGCAGUGGCGCAGGUCUACACGCAAGAAUGGGGCAUCCAGCCCGGAUGCCAUCAUCGCUACUGCUGACUUCAGUGAUGGCGACGGUGGUGGUGAUGGCGGUGGUGACGGUGGUGCUGAUGUAGCAGUGAUGGCAGUGGUGCAAGCAGUGCUGAUGAUGACGAUGAUGAUGAUGAUGAUGACACGAGAUAUCUUCUCAUCACCUAAAAUGGCGCAGGGCAUCCAUUUCUGGUGCUGCUGCAGGUCUUAGUGCUGAAAACGGUAGUGAAGGCGUGGUGCAGGGGGGCCAGGUACUUGUUAUCCAGGAAAAAAAAUCGCUGCAUGAUGAGGCAGCUCAGGCUGGGGUUACCCUGGAGCAGCAGGUUGCGGCAGCCCAUCCGGAGCUGGGGAAAAAGGGGUAGCCAACCACGUGGUAAAGCUCAUCAGGCAGCAGUGGGCACAGCUUUCACCACCUGUGAAGGCUGAGUGGAUGCAGCGGCCGCAGAGGGGGAGGUGCUGGCUGGCGGCGUGGUAAUCUUGCUGGCGAGCUGUGCAGCAGCUGGCGCAGCCGGCAGCAGGUUGUGGAGCAGGUGAAGGCGCCUUGACGCUGGCUGCCGGCGGUGGAUACCGAUAGGGGCAUUGGGAGCAUUAAGUCUGCAUUUCUGUGACAUUCUGUGACGGCCUCCGCUGUCCAUGGAUCCAGACCACUAUUUAUUCGCUGUGUAUGACUUGUUUCGACCUUUUCUUUACACAUGACCCUUUGGCUUUUGUUCUUUGUAUAGUAUGUGGAGUGUGGUGCAGAAAAAUUACCUCAGUGCAUCGUUGUUCUGGUUGUUUAAGAAGGGCACCGUCGCCCUGGGCUGUAUAAGCAGGCACCUGGAGCACUGUGUCUGUGACAUCUCGCUUCAUAAGGAACAUUAGGAGUUCAACGGAGUCUCGCCUUGUAACUGAAUAGGUGUCCCAUCUACAACCCGUCGUCAUUACAAUAGUCAGCCUAUCUUCCUUCCAGGACACAAAUAUCAACAUCAACACGGAGGGUAUCACCCAGGGUUCGUCAUCUGUCAUCUGGGGGUGGGUGUUAUGACUUGCUUGUGUAUCACCCUACCCUUAAACGAGAGCACUCAUUUAACAAAACCGUAAAGAGUUGUGAAGUGACCUACUUGAUGUGCGUGAGAUGCAACAUGCAUCCCCACUGACCCAAAGGCGCUUCCUACCGGAGUCACUGGAGUUACGGCACAUUAUUGGAAGAGUGGCAGGAUCCUCAUAGCAAAGGAACAUGACCGACGUGAUUCAUGCACACCAAGGCUGUCUUUCCUCAGCUUUUCCAACGGGUGCCCAUGCAUCUCAGGUGAGGCUGCUGGGAACUCAAACUUAACAGGCCUAAUGGCCGUGAGCACGCUGCGUGUACCUGCAGGCUUUGCGACUGCGGAAGGAGUAAAAAUGAGCUGCCAUGUCUCUUGUGAGUGGCCACCUCCUGGUGAGUUACUGGUGCAGCGCGAAAAAGACCUUGGCUUGGGAGGGCGCACUCUGCACAAGAUUAAUGCCGAGGGCCCCUUACUUGGCUAGUUCCCUUUGGGGUUUAGGAGGCCAGCAAGCAGGCAUCGAGCCCAGGAGAGCGGGGGAGGACUGCAACGCUCGGCGUCGUUAUCACAGCAACAGGAUCUAUCAAUGAAGAUGCAUGAUUUCAAGUCAUGUCAUGGUUAAUACAGGUUAAGAGUUUUCAGGCAAUCAUCGCGGUUCCCCAACCUCGGUGCGGGAGCGGAUCCCUUUCGUCAAUCUCAGCAACCGUGUGCCUGCCAACAGUUACCUCGACGUCUACAAUCCGUAGCAACCAAGCUGCUUUACACUACCAUUGGCCUACAACGGGAAAAAGAUUAUUACGGGUACCGUCCAAGGUCUGAUCCCGCGUUGCUCGUCCAACAACCAUUUGGAAUGAUUCUCGGAAUGUUGCCAGAAUUCCGUUACCAGAGUUCUUCACCUGCAAGCGGCAACAUGGGUUAUUCUGUUUCCGGCAACCCAUGUACGCUGGUCUUGAGCUCCGUGCGCCAACAACAUUUUGCUAGGCUAAGCAAGUCCAAGGACGGUGCAUUCCCUCUUCAACUUGUGCAAAGGUACCUAUAUUCGUCAUCACUUAUUCGCAUUCGUUAACGCGCGGUCACUGCGUACUAUGUUCUUUUGAACCUGAACCUUAUCCGUUCGUUAACAUAACAAAAGCCGUUGUUAAUCUGUCGCAGCUUCAGACCCCGGGCCGGUAUAAGGCAAUGCCCUACAACGAACGCUCUGCAGCCAUCCCGCACAGGUGCGCUUGUGCAGCUGACACUCCUUCGGUGCAGUCGCAACGACCUCCUGGCAUGGGUGCUUGUCAUGGCAUACCCUUGGCUCUGUGCCAUGCGAUAAUAUAGUGCAACAACAACAUAACUUCUUGCAUUAAAGACACAUACAGUAUCACAUCUUGUGUUAACUGAAAAAGUGCCUCCAAUUGCAGCUAUUGGUAAGGGCUGUGAACCAACGUUCAUAAGGUUCCCUCAUUCUGCCCUUUCUAACAAUCCAGCUUAACACCAGGCACACCAACAUUCUGUCCCAGUUCCGCUCCUGCAUCCCCGGGUCAACCCGUAGUCGCACAUGAACCUCCCCCUCCCAUCCCCAACCCUCCCCUACCAACCCCACGCCAACCAACCCUACAGGGCAACGCAAUCGCUACGACCAACUGCCGUUGCACCCACCAUCAGCCAGUCGCCUCCGCAGCAGCUAUGGGCGCGGAGGUCGGGGGCCCCGUCUGGCGGCACCCUCUGAAGAGCUCCAGGGGCGGGGGUCGGUAUUGGCGGCAGCGGCGGCGGCGGCAGCAGCACUGUCAGCUGGAGGCGGGUUCAGUGGGAAGGGCCGGGGGCCUGGAGGUGGCAAGGAUGGUGGAGGGGUGGAGGUGCUGUCCGAGACAAGGUGGGUGAAGGUGCGGGUGAUGGCGGUGGGGAUGGGGGUGGAGAGGCGGCCGGGGGUGGGUGGGCGAGGUUGUUGCAAAAGGGUUGGCGUGCGGUGAACUGGGGGUGUGUGGCGUCCUUAUACGUGUACAUAUAUACGUACAUACAUAUGUACAUACAUACGUACAUACAUCCGCACGUACAUACAUACGUACGUACAUACGCAAACAGACGUGCACACAUACUCACUGGCCGCCCGCCUGUCCUGUCGUUUUUCCGUACGGACCUGCCCCAAGCUUGGUGAUGCUUCCAUGCCGUACUGCGAUACCGUAUCAUCACACGUCAAGACCCGUCACCGUUCCAUUGGGCGGUACAAUUGCCUAUCAUACUUGUCGUACUCUAGAAAUAAGCUUUGCAUGUGGGUCUGAUGUUGUGCUUCCAUCGUUAUGCACAGAUUCGAGGAUGUACGACUGCAUGCGAGGGUGGAGCGGCAGGGUGGGGAAUACAAGGUACGGGGGCAGGGGAGAUGGAGGGGUGCGAUGGAUGGCAACAAAUACACAGGUGCGCACAGAGAAGAAGGGUUAGGAGUUCGCAUACAUACAUACGCACAUGACACGAUACGACAGACCCGCCCAGGCACGGCAUUCUGUGCCCUCUUGGGGAAGGGCACAGCUCCGUUGGCACAUACACACAGAGACACGCGCGCCACGUGCACAUCUGCCUGCAGCUUUGAUUUUAUUUUCUCUUCGCGCAGUCCGGUCUCCUUUCCAGGACACACCUACCCCACACACUGCUACUGUGUUUUCAUUUUCCCCCUCCUUCUCCCCCUUCCUCUCCUUCCAUUCGGAUGUCGGCGGUCUAUCCUUUACUUAUUUGCUUAUUAAUGUAUUAAUAAAUCCCUCUCCUCCCGCCCUGGGUCCCUCCAUCCAUCCCUUUCCCGCUCACCUUCACUCUCCCGCCACCACCCCCUUCGCAGGUCGUCCUGCAGCUGCCCUCCCCCGCCUCCCCCCUCUCACCCCCCUGGGUUCUCCAUUGGGCGCUGGACGAGUGGUCCCCACCCCCCCUGGACUGCUGGCCCCCGGGGACCGCGCGUGCGGAGGGGGAAGGGGGGCGGGAUGACGGACCGUGUCAAACACACUUCCCGCCGGAUGGGCGACUGGAGAUCAGCUUUGCACCGGUAUGAGGAUGCUGUUGUAUGUGCGUAUGUAUGUAUGUAUGUAUGUCUACGUGUAAGUUGCGCGAAUGUGAAGUAGGGUAUAUGUCUGUAGUGCGCGUAUGUAUGUGUUUGUGCAAGGGGGGGAGAGAGGCGACUCGGGGGCUGUUUAAGGGGGCUGGAUGAACUGGACAGGACAGGACGGGGGGAAUGGGGGUGGGGGAGUUUGGGGGUCAUAAGGGAGGCUUGGAGUGACGACCGUUGCCGAUGUAUGUAUGUACGUACGUGUGUGUGUGUGUGUUUUGGCCGCUUAUGUUAGGGCCAAUGUCCGUGCCAUGAGGCUGUUUAAAACCCUUCAACUCCCGGCCCUCACCACGCACCGGAAAGAGGUUUUCUCAUCCUCUGUUUUCCCGGCCCCCCGCGACACACACAUACAUACACACACACUCACACGCACACGCACACAGGGCACCUGCCCUUCUCGAGUCGUGUUUGUGUUGAAGCAGCCGGCGGCGGAGGGCAGCGCUGAUGGCAGUGGCGAGGUAUGGUACAACAACGGCGGAUCCAACUAUGUCGUACAGUUGCGGGCGCCUCCGGUCGAGACGUUCAUUGAGAAGGCAAGGCGGGUGGGGGUUGGAGGUGUGUGUGUGUGUGUGUGUGUGUGUGUGUGUGGGAUGGGGGGAUGUCUGAGGUGUUGUGGGUGUGAGGUUGUGUCUUUGAACCAGGUGGUUGCGGAUGCAUUGGGUUCCGUUGGAGUUUCGGUUGCAAGUGGUUGCGGAUGUUGAUGACGGGGGUUAUGGGCGUGCGGGUAGCUGGGACCUGCUGGUUGGGGUUUGGGGGGAAGGACGGAGGGGGUCUAGAGCUCCGUUCUCCGAACAUGCAUGAAUGACCGACCGCGCUGUUGUUUGUUGCACUUCCGAGAAGACGUUACAGCAAAGGCUAGAGACCGGAGGAGAGAAAGGCGAAUAUGAAGACACGUACCCCCGUAGGAAAGUCUAAGCAAGACAGCAGGACACCGCCACGUUGUUCAGCAGUCCAGAUGGUCUUUUCAUAUAACUACCUUACCAUAUAACUUCCUAAUCUACAUCGCCCCCUCUGUAUCGUGUCUCUCUGCUAGCGCAGCGUGACCGCCUGUUCCCCGCACAACCCGGACCACACCGGGCACCCCGGCUUUUACGGACACACCCGCACUUGUGUGCAGAACUUGUAACUUGUAACACACGUACACACACGCGCUUUCCCCCCCUCCCCCUCCCCCGCUCCCUGGUUUCAGGUUCUUGCUGCCGAGGGCAGCUACACGCACUGGUCAUUGGCUCAGAGGAUGAUGCUGACCGGCGAGGUGCUGGACGCGGCGGAUGCAGCGGGUGCGGUGUGUAUGUGUGUAUAUAUGUGUGUGUAUCUGUGUGUGUGCGAGAGGGUUGUGGUUAUGGGGGGAAGGACGGGGGUCGGGAUGGGACGGGAAGACAAGUUCGAUCUGCGGCUUUGAGAGGAGGGGGUCGAGGAAGGGGACUGGUCUGAUUCUUGUACAUCGGGUACUCUCCCCCGUCCUUCCCUUUGCAGACCGACAGACAGAGAGACACAGGUCCGCAUAAACCCACACAGAGCCAUGCACGCACACAUACAUACACAUAUUCAUGUGUGGCCGAAACGCGGCGCACGCACAUAUACACAUACAUACAUACGUACGUACGUACGUACAUAUUGCUGCGUUGUGUGUUGGCAGUCUGAGUCCGGGUGGGGAGCACACAAGACUAACCGACUUGUGCUGUGUGCUCCCGACCCUUGCGCUGUGUUUCGGCUUCGGCCCCCGGCUUUUGCAGCCCACAGUGUAAUAUAAGUUAUACAUAUAUACAUACAUUCAACCACCAGAGACGCCUCACAUGUCGGCCCCACCCCCUUCGAUAGGUCCGGAGGGAAUGGCGUUCAUCUUCACAUGGCUACGUCUAAGCAGUACACGUGUACUGGAUUGGUACCGCAACGCCAACUUCCAACCGCGUGACGUGGCUGCCGUACAGCAGCAUGUCGGGGAGCGCAUGGCGGAAAAAGUAUGUAUGGCAGUGUACGAUAGCUUGUACAGCGCAUGUACGGCCAAUAUUACGUACGGGACAUGACAGGGUUACAGAGGGUGUUUACAAACAGCGGUGGAUUAACCCGCUCUCCCCAGUCCCCCCCCCUUCUUGCCCUGGCAGCUGCUUCACUCGUUUGUGGUUCGUCUUCCCCCCCCCCCCCGCAACCCAACUAGGACACCAGGCAGCAUGCAGCUGCUGGCCGCCGAUAUGAAAAGGCCUCGCCGGCUGCUGGAAGUGCGCUUUAUCAACCAACUUUUACUUUAACGUGUGCCGUACUGUACGACAGGUACUGCAGCCCGCUCCGCUAACUCACCUUCCGAUGCUCACCGACCCCCCCACCCACCCACCACCACCACUACUACAGCCAUCACCACGUCCCCCCGGGGAGCGAGCACUGCCGGAUAGCUCCCACCCGGGUUUCCUUUCGGCGGCUCCCCUCCCCUCCCCUCCCCGCGGGAAAUCCAUUAGUCCUAAAGCUUCAUACAUACAUACUUCGAUACAUACAUACAUGCACACACCCUUUUCCUCCUGCUGCCCGUACCAGGCCCGUUCCUCCUCCCACCCCCUCAACCGCCUGCUGGCCCGGGGGGCCCUAGCCGGUCUGCCUCGGGGCGGGGGCAAUGGGGACGACAUACGUAUGGGCAUACUGCACAUCAUGAGGGGCUACGGUAUACGGGAGGGGCACAGACCGGUGAGUGAUUGUGUGUGUGGGGGGGGGAGGUGAGGAUUUGGUUUUAGGAAAAACCCUGUUGGUGGCGGUGGUGAUGUGUGUGUGCGUAUGUAAGUGUGUAUGUAUGUAUGUGUGGAUUUCCGGUGGUUUAGUUGGAGGGGACGAUGAGUGGUGGUGGAAAUGUGCGCGGGAGACCCUGCUCGCUCCAGGGAUGGCGGGCAGCAAGGGGGACGCCAUGUGUUGGUCUGUGGGGCCCGGAUAUGGGGCGCGAGUGCUCCCACUCACUUGGCUUUGGUGGUUCGUCUUACCCCGGCCUCACCGCCGUCUGCAGCCCUUUAUUGGGGGGGGCUAUAAAGGAAGCAAAGAGGACGAUAACGGGCCGUAUAUUUAUUUAAUAAUAAUUGUGAAAUAAAUGCUGCCGCUGGCGGGUGCUGUUUCGCAUUACCAAGUGUCGUACUGCCGUACUGAUGGUGUUUCUUUCGACAUAAUGAAAACGACCUAAAAUGCAUGCACUCCCAUACACACACAACACACACCCUCUCUCUCGCACAUACAUACAUACAUAUGCACACACACUCGCAGGGUCACGACGAGCCUUUCCUGGAGCAGUGGCAUCAGAAGCUGCACACCAACACCUCCCCCGAUGACGUCAUCAUUUGUGAGGCGUAUCUCGCCUUUCUGCACAGGUGGGCAUGUCUGUCUGUCUGUCUGUCUGUGUACAUAUGUUUACGUCCGUAUUCUGUUAUAGGUUCCGGUGGGUGGGGUGGGGUGGGGUGGUGGAGUAUGAUGGCCUACGAACAACCUUAUUCUGCAAUUAAACAAGGAAUUGCAAAGUAGAGGUUGGGAGAGGGGGCAAGACAGGGGGAAAAGGGGGUGAAAAAGGUGCACAUACACACAUACACACAUGCACAUACACACAGUCCCGGCACGACAGAUAUGCUAAGGCAGGGGGGAGGUUGUCCCGAAACAUAGCAUCGGGCGAGAGGUAGCCCGGACUGCCAGCAGGCUAGUACUGGUUGCACUGAUAAAGCUAUAUACCCCCCCACUUGGCGUUAUCCUACACGAUCACACCGCAGCAACCACCUUAACUGCUGCCCCCCUGAUCCCCCUGCCGUACCUUGUGCCGUACAGCGGCAACCAUGACGACUACUGGCGGGUGCUUUGGGAGCGCGGUCGGCUCUCCCGGGAGCAGCUGGGGUCCUGGCCUAAGCCGCUGACGGGUGUGUAUGUGUGUAUGUAUGUUGUUACAGGGUGGUAUAGCUUCACCAGCGGCCCCCUUUCCCUUGAAGGCAGUUGGCCCUGCUCUCCCCUGCUAGAGGGGCACCCUAAUCCGUUCACCCCAUCCGACUUCAGAGUGUAUUCGUUGGGUUCGGCAACUCACCACCAGCAUCCAACCAAAUCUAGCGGAUCAACGGCGCNNNNNNNNNNNNNNNNNNNNNNNNNNNNNNNNNNNNNNNNNNNNNNNNNNACGGCGCAUCAACUUAGCUCCUGGCCAGCUCGCAAGUUGAUAUUAUCACGUCCUAUAACGUCCACAAGAUGGGGGGCCACCUCCCAUUUCAUCACUCCUCAAACACCCGAGGAGCUGGCAGGCGGAUUUGAACCCGGACCCUCCGGGAGCAGAAAUCAGGCCUUAACUUCUGCCAGCCACCUGCCUGUGUGUAUGUAUGUAUGUGCGUGCGUGUUGGGGGUGCGUGUGUGUAUGUCUAUGUGCAUGUGUUUGUGUGUUUGUACGAACUGAACCCCGAGAAGUACAUACAUACAUACAUGUGG